This 491-nucleotide ribosomal RNA is filed under the name uncultured soil bacterium. RNAcentral's name for it is "bacterial SSU rRNA". It matches the Rfam family "Bacterial small subunit ribosomal RNA", at positions 26 to 511 of the family's 1533-position model. The record is from RNAcentral.
AGAUUGAACGCCGGCGGCAUGCCUUACACAUGCAAGUCGAACGGCAGCACGGGAGCAAUCCUGGUGGCGAGUGGCGAACGGGUGAGUAAUACAUCGGAACGUGCCCAAUCGUGGGGGAUAACGCAGCGAAAGCUGUGCUAAUACCGCAUAAGAUCUACGGAUGAAAGCAGGGGAUCGCAAGACCUUGCGCGAAUGGAGCGGCCGAUGGCAGAUUAGGUAGUUGGUGAGGUAAAGGCUCACCAAGCCUUCGAUCUGUAGCUGGUCUGGGAGGACGACCAGCCACACUGGGACUGAGACACGGCCCAGACUCCUACGGGAGGCAGCAGUGGGGAAUUUUGGACAAUGGGCGAAAGCCUGAUCCAGCCAUGCCGCGUGCAGGAUGAAGGCCUUCGGUUAGUAACGUGCUUUUAGUACGGAACGAAAGUCUCUUUACUAAUAAAGAGGAUCAUAGACGGUACCGUAAGGAUAAGCACAGACUAACUACGUGACCG